This 178-nucleotide antisense RNA is filed under the name Planktothricoides sp. SR001. RNAcentral's name for it is "Antisense RNA which regulates isiA expression". It matches the Rfam family "Antisense RNA which regulates isiA expression". Lineage: Bacteria; Bacillati; Cyanobacteriota; Cyanophyceae; Oscillatoriales; Oscillatoriaceae. The record is from Rfam by way of RNAcentral.
GAUAGCCAUAAAUCACAAAUGGAUUGAGAGUUGGUUCUGUCACCACGCGCAGGGUUUGAGUUGCCGCAUCAUAAAGUCCGUCCCAAUACAUGGCUUUGGCUACUAACAAUAAAGCGCCCAUGCCUAAAAACAGUAAAUGAUGCCCCAAAAUCAGCCCCAAUUGUUUGGGAUCGUUCCA